UUUAUUCAUCCUCUCUGAGAGAGUCUGGUCCUUUGGUAGGUUUAUUCAUCCUCUCUGAGACCGUCUGGUCCUUUGGUAGGUUUAUUCAUCCUCUCUGAGAGAGUCUGGUCCUUUGGUAGGUUUAUUCAUCCACUCUGAGAGAGUCUGGUCCUUUGGUAGGUUUAUUCAUCCUCUCUGAGACCGUCUGGUCCUUUGGUAGGUUUAUUCAUCCUCUCUGAGACCGUCUGGUCCUUUGGUAGGUUUAUUCAUCCUCUCUGAGAGAGUCUGGUCCUUUGGUAGGUUUAUUCAUCCUCUCUGAGAGAGUCUGGUCCUUUGGUAGGUUUAUUCAUCCUCUCUGAGACCGUCUGGUCCUUUGGUAGGUUUAUUCAUCCUCUCUGAGACCGUCUGGUCCUUUGGUAGGUUUAUUCAUCCUCUCUGAGAGAGUCUGGUCCUUUGGUAGGUUUAUUCAUCCUCUCUGAGAGAGUCUGGUCCUUUGGUAGGUUUAUUCAUCCUCUCUGAGACCGUUUGGUCCUUUGGUAGGUUUAUUCAUCCUCUCUGAGACCGUUUGGUUCUUUGGUAGGUUUAUUCAUCCUCUCUGAGACCGUCUGGUCCUUUGGUAGGUUUAUUGAUCUUCACUGAGACCGUUUGGUUCUUUGGUAGGUUUAUUCAUCCUCUCUGAGACCGUUUGGUCCUUUGGUAGGUUUAUUCAUCCUCUCUGAGACCGUUUGGUCCUUUGAUAGGUUUAUUCAUCCUCUCUGAGACCGUUUGGUCCUUUGGUAGGUUUAUUCAUCCUCUCUGAGACCGUUUGGUCCUUUGGUAGGUUUAUUCAUCCUCUCUGAGACCGUCUGGUCCUUUGGUAGGUUUAUUCAUCCUCUCUGAGACCGUCUGGUCCUUUGGUAGGUUUAUUCAUCCUCUCUGAGACCGUCUGGUCCUUUGGUAGGUUUAUUCAUCCUCUCUGAGACUGUUUGGUCCUUUGGUAGGUUUAUUCAUCCUCUCUGAGACCGUCUGGUCCUUUGGUAGGUUUAUUCAUCCUCUCUGAGAGAGUCUGGUCCUUUGGUAGGUUUAUUCAUCCUCUCUGAGACCGUCUGGUCCUUUGGUAGGUUUAUUCAUCCUCUCUGAGAGAGUCUGGUCCUUUGGUAGGUUUAUUCAUCCUCUCUGAGACCGUCUGGUCCUUUGGUAGGUUUAUUCAUCCUCUCUGAAACCGUCUGGUCCUUUGGUAGGUUUACUUGUUUCUCUGUGAGACCGUCUGGUCCUUUGGUAGGUUUAUUCAUCCUCUCUGAGAGAGUCUGGUCCUUUGGUAGGUUUAUUCAUCCUCUCUGAGACCGUCUGGUCCUUUGGUAGGUUUAUUCAUCCUCUCUGAAACCGUCUGGUCCUUUGGUAGGUUUAUUUGUUUCUCUGUGAGACUGUUGUCAGACACUGAGCUUCUUCAAAUUCUAAACCGUUAUCAUAUUAGAGGUAUGAUGAAUGAAUGUUGAAUCUCCUCUCCUCCCCUUCUCCCCACUCCUUUUCUCCUGCCCUCCUCCUCCCCUCUACUCCCCCUUCUCGCCUCUCCUCUCCUCCAGGUGUGUUUAUGUGGGAGGUGUAUACUGAGGGGCGUCUGCCCUAUGAGAACCGGUCUAAUCUUGAGGUGGUGGAGGCCCUGAAUGCAGAAACCAGACGACCGUCCUUCCUUUGCUCUCCUGCUGCACGAGCUGGCCUUGCUCUCAGACCUCUGAGCCUGAACAAACAAGCUUUUCAGCCAAACUGAAGAUACUGUAUGAAAUAUACUUAGCUAGCUGUGUUUAUGUUAUUUAUUAAUUUCCUUCAAGUUUCUAUUUAUUUUGUAGCAAAUCAAUUUUUUAUAAAAUGUAGA
This is a long non-coding RNA of Oncorhynchus keta (chum salmon), 1831 nucleotides long. RefSeq lists it as uncharacterized. The record is from RefSeq and is a predicted model, not a curated record. Lineage: Eukaryota; Metazoa; Chordata; Actinopteri; Salmoniformes; Salmonidae. The transcript has 3 exons.